This 972-nucleotide ribosomal RNA is filed under the name Triticum aestivum (bread wheat). RNAcentral's name for it is "partial small subunit ribosomal RNA". The record is from RNAcentral. Lineage: Eukaryota; Viridiplantae; Streptophyta; Magnoliopsida; Poales; Poaceae.
AUGACAAGGACAAGCCUUUUAGGUUUUGCAUUCCAGUCUUUGGUCAAAUUAACUGACGACACGGUUGCUCGAGGUAAGGAAUAUCUUAUGAACUGGCGACUAUCGUCAUCAUUGUCGUCGUUACCAAGCUCUAAGUUACAUGUGACUACGGACGGUGAUAACACUCGUGGUGCUGCAACGGACAUAAUUGAUUCUGCCGUGGCAAGGAACGUUAUCGAUUUGAAUGGGCAAAAAUAUUCCAAAGAGGGGACGAAGGCGGCACAUGGUACUUGUUGCUAUGAUGAAUUAUUCUGCUUCCCACGUUUCGAUGUACUGCAGAGCAGCCCUUCGGAUCACCAUUACCUUGACAUCGCGGACCAGGGCAGUAGUCAUGUCAAGAGUUGGGCGAAAACAGUGCAGAAGGAAUGGAAAAUUCUAGAGAACGACUUACCAGAAACCAUUUACAUGCGGGUGUUCGAGGACCGCAUGGACCUACUCCGGGUGGUGAUGGUGGGUGCGAGUGGGGCACCGUACCAUCACGGGCUCUUCUUUUUCGACUUGCAGCUGCCUCCAUCAUACCCAGCUGCGCCACCGCAAGUGUACCACCACUCCUUCGGCCUACGCCUCAAUCCCAACCUCUAUGAGUCCGGUACCGUGUGUCUUAGCCUGCUAGGCACAUUUGGGGGCGAGGGCAGUGAGGUCUGGUCGCCGUCGACAUCAAGCAUCCUCCAAGUCGUUGUCUCCAUCCAGGGCCUCGUCCUCAACGACCAACCAUACUACAACGAGGCUGGAUAUGAGACUCUGGUUGGCAAACCAGAGGGCCGCCGCAAUGCCUUGACCUAUAGCAAGAAUGCUUCAUGCUCCACCUUUUACGCCACCUCAGGGAUUUCAAGAAUUUGUAAAGGAUCACUUCCGCCAUCGGGGGAGGUUCGUGCUCGGGACAUGCACCGCGUGGUUGCAGGGAUGCGGUGUCUGCAGUGCCCGUGCCACUGA